GACGAACGCUGGCGGCGUGCUUAACACAUGCAAGUCGAACGGAAAGGCCUCUUUCGGGGGGUACUCGAGUGGCGAACGGGUGAGUAACACGUGAGUAACCUGCCCUUGACUUUGGGAUAACUUCAGGAAACUGGGGCUAAUACCGGAUAGGAGCUCCUGCUGCAUGGUGGGGGUUGGAAAGUUUCGGCGGUUGGGGAUGGACUCGCGGCUUAUCAGCUUGUUGGUGGGGUAGUGGCUUACCAAGGCUUUGACGGGUAGCCGACCUGAGAGGGUGACCGGCCACAUUGGGACUGAGAUACGGCCCAGACUCCUACGGGAGGCAGCAGUGGGGAAUAUUGCACAAUGGGUGGAAGCCUGAUGCAGCAACGCCGUGUGCGGGAUGACGGCCUUCGGGUUGUAAACCGCUUUCGCUCAUGACGAAGCUUUGUGUGACGGUAGUGGGUAAAGAAGCACCGGCUAACUACGUG
RNAcentral lists this ribosomal RNA (467 nucleotides) under uncultured bacterium. RNAcentral's name for it is "partial 16S ribosomal RNA". It matches the Rfam family "Bacterial small subunit ribosomal RNA", at positions 28 to 507 of the family's 1533-position model. The record is from RNAcentral.